ACGUCAUUUUCGCCAAACUACAUUGUGACCGCCAUCUUGUCAGAAAUUGCGUGACAAAAAGUUGCCAUCAGAAAAAGUAGCGUCGGCGUCGUUCCGUUUGCCGCCUGGCCAAUCCGAAUAUGGCACGGUUUCCAUUGCCUCGACCUGGAAGGCUCGAUCAAUUUUCAGAAAAAUGUCAACGAGAACCACAUGGCCCACGGAGGAACUUCACCACCAGCACCCUCAACUCCGGCGGCCGCUAAUUGGAAUCAAGUUGGACAUGUCAAGUUGGACGGCAUAUUUCCCGGAUCCGCCGGCAUCCUGCCGGAAGACGACUAUAGUCACUAAAGUCACAGGAAAAACGAAGAAAAUGUGUGUGUGAAGAUGAAGUGAAGAUGAAGUGUAAUUGAAAAUUGAGUGUUUAAUAAAUUGAUAAAGAUUCUUUUGUUAUGUUUUU
Long non-coding RNA from Culex quinquefasciatus (southern house mosquito), 436 nucleotides. RefSeq lists it as uncharacterized. The transcript is spliced from 2 exons. Lineage: Eukaryota; Metazoa; Arthropoda; Insecta; Diptera; Culicidae. The record is from RefSeq and is a predicted model, not a curated record.